Molecule: ribosomal RNA, 492 nt
Filed under: Pseudorhombus oligodon (roughscale flounder)
Lineage: Eukaryota; Metazoa; Chordata; Actinopteri; Pleuronectiformes; Paralichthyidae
Description: partial 16S ribosomal RNA
Rfam family: Bacterial large subunit ribosomal RNA
Source: RNAcentral
AAUCACUUGUCUUUUAAAUGAAGACCCGUAUGAAUGGCAAAACGAGGGCUUAACUGUCUCCUUCCCCAAAUCAAUGAAAUUGAUCCCCCCGUGCAGAAGCGGGGAUUUUAACAUAAGACGAGAAGACCCUAUGGAGCUUUAGACAGACGACUGAACCAUAUUCCCUAAACCCUCCCUCACAGGGCUAAAUUUAAUGGACACUCUAUCAAUGUCUUCGGUUGGGGCGACCAUGGGGAAAACAAAACCCCCACGCGGAAAGGGGUUAUAACCUAUAUGACCACAACCCCUCAGGACAGGGCGACAGCCCUACCCAGCAGAAAUUCUGACCAAACUGAUCCGGACCACUCCGAUCAACGAACCAAGUUACCCUAGGGAUAACAGCGCAAUCCCCUUUUAGAGUUCAUAUCGACAAGGGGGUUUACGACCUCGAUGUUGGAUCAGGACAUCCUAAUGGUGCAGCCGCUAUUAAGGGUUCGUUUGUUCAACGAUUAA